Molecule: transfer RNA, 75 nt
Filed under: Rhodosoma turcicum
Lineage: Eukaryota; Metazoa; Chordata; Ascidiacea; Phlebobranchia; Corellidae
Description: transfer RNA-Asn
Source: RNAcentral
UUUAAUUAAGCAUAGUUUUGAUGUAGUUAAUUGUUAAUUAAUUGAGCGGUUUUUUUGUGUAGAGUCGAAUUAUUA